This 497-nucleotide ribosomal RNA is filed under the name uncultured bacterium. RNAcentral's name for it is "partial 16S ribosomal RNA". It matches the Rfam family "Bacterial small subunit ribosomal RNA", at positions 28 to 507 of the family's 1533-position model. The record is from RNAcentral.
GAUGAACGCUGGCGGCGUGCCUAAUACAUGCAAGUCGAGCGAACAGACGAUGAGCUUGCUCCUCUGACGUUAGCGGCGGACGGGUGAGUAACACGUGUAUAACCUACCUAUAAGACUGGUAUAACUUCGGGAAACCGGAGCUAAUACCGGAUAAUAUAUUGAACCGCAUGGUUCAAUAGUGAAAGACGGUUUUGCUGUCACUUAUAGAUGGAUCUCCGCCGCAUUGGCUAGUUGGUAAGGUAACGGCUUACCAAGGCGACAAUGCGUAGCCGACCUGAGAGGGUGAUCGGCCACACUGGAACUGAGCCACGGUCCAGACUACUACGGGAGGCAGCAGUAGGGAAUCUUCCGCAAUGGGCGAAAGCAUGACGGAGCAACGCCGCGUGAGUGAUGAAGGUCUUCGGAUCGUAAAACUCUGUUAUUAGGGAAGAACAAAUGUGUAAGUAAAUAUGCACGUCUUGACGGUAACUAAUCAGAAAGCCACGGCUAACUACGUG